AAUUUGUUAUUAUCAAUAAUUCGACGGUUCUAUCCAAAUAACGGCCAUUGUCAUCUCGUUUAACUCUGUUGAAUUCAAACCCUCCAAGUGGUGGCAGUACUCUGUAAGAUAAAGCUCUUCCAUUGGUGGCCCGCGUCAUGGCCGUCCAAUGACUGUUCCUGUUAAAACUGCCAUUAGCAUCAUGAAUAUCGCACACAGAAUCUUCACUAUUUUCAUUCUGCAAGGGACUAAAAUUAUUUGUUCACCUAAAGUAUAAGAUAAUAUAUAACUUAAUGUUUGUGCGCACUAAUUUCCGAAUAAACUUCAUCAUAUACGCUCAAAACAUGAAACAAAGUUUUCAAAGUAAAAUGUGGUAGAUUAAGUUUAGCAAAAAAAUGAUAUUGCUGAACUCAUUAUACAUACAUGAUAUAGAUAAACUCAUUAUUGAUACCAGGAGAAACAUGUUGUAUAUCUUAUAUCUCUCUCGGUUUAAUUAAAUUAUCCCGUCAGUGAUACUGCAAUAGUUUAACUUUAUAAAGGAAGUCAUAGUGAUGUCUAUUAAUUUAAUCAGUUUACCCCCCUUCCAUCCCCACCAAGAUUCUUUAUUUCUCAAACACCAUAAAG
Molecule: long non-coding RNA, 603 nt
Filed under: Mytilus galloprovincialis (Mediterranean mussel)
Lineage: Eukaryota; Metazoa; Mollusca; Bivalvia; Mytilida; Mytilidae
Source: RNAcentral